UACGAAGGGGGCGAGCGUUGUUCGGAUUUACUGGGCGUAAAGGGCGCGCAGGCGGCUUAUUUUGUCAGGCGUGAAAGCCCCGGGCUUAACCUGGGAACUGCGUUUGAUACGGAUGGGCUAGAGUUCGGGAGAGGAGCGUGGAAUUCCCAGUGUAGAGGUGAAAUUCGUAGAUAUUGGGAAGAACACCGGUGGCGAAGUCGGCGCUCUGGACCGAGACUGACGCUGAGGCGCGAAAGCGUGGGGAGCAAUCAGG
Molecule: ribosomal RNA, 253 nt
Filed under: uncultured bacterium
Lineage: Bacteria
Description: partial 16S ribosomal RNA
Rfam family: Bacterial small subunit ribosomal RNA
Source: RNAcentral